This 468-nucleotide ribosomal RNA is filed under the name uncultured bacterium. RNAcentral describes it as "partial 16S ribosomal RNA". It matches the Rfam family "Bacterial small subunit ribosomal RNA", at positions 28 to 507 of the family's 1533-position model. The record is from RNAcentral.
GACGAACGCUGGCGGCGUGCUUAACACAUGCAAGUCGAACGGAAAGGCCCUGCUUUUGUGGGGUGCUCGAGUGGCGAACGGGUGAGUAACACGUGAGUAACCUGCCCUUGACUUUGGGAUAACUUCAGGAAACUGGGGCUAAUACCGGAUAGGAGCUCCUGCUGCAUGGUGGGGGUUGGAAAGUUUCGGCGGUUGGGGAUGGACUCGCGGCGUAUCAGCUUGUUGGUGGGGUAGUGGCUUACCAAGGCUUUGACGGGUAGCCGGCCUGAGAGGGUGACCGGACAAAUUGGGACUGAGAUGAGACCCAGACUACAACGGGAGGCAGCAGAGGAGAAUAGUGCACAAUGGGCGGAAGCAUGAUGCAGCCACGCCGCGUGGGGGAUGACGGCAUUCGGGUAGUAAACCGCUUCCGCCUGUGACGAAGCGUGAGUGACGGUAAUGGGUAAAGAAGCACCGGCUAACUACGUG